GUGUACCACAUAUACUAAAAUUAAACAAUACUGAGAAGAUUGGCUUGGCCCUUGCCACAAGGAUGACACACAAAUUCAAGAAAAAUUCCACACUUUU
RNAcentral lists this small nuclear RNA (97 nucleotides) under Carlito syrichta (Philippine tarsier). Lineage: Eukaryota; Metazoa; Chordata; Mammalia; Primates; Tarsiidae. The record is from RNAcentral.